AUUGACAGAAGAGAGGAUGAUUUA
RNAcentral lists this small RNA (24 nucleotides) under Arabidopsis thaliana (thale cress). RNAcentral describes it as "ATSL252600". Lineage: Eukaryota; Viridiplantae; Streptophyta; Magnoliopsida; Brassicales; Brassicaceae. The record is from RNAcentral.